GGUGGUGGAGGAUCCGGAUCUCA
RNAcentral lists this non-coding RNA (23 nucleotides) under Arabidopsis thaliana (thale cress). Lineage: Eukaryota; Viridiplantae; Streptophyta; Magnoliopsida; Brassicales; Brassicaceae. The record is from RNAcentral.